GACGAACCGUGCGAACGUUGUCCGGAAUUAUUGGGCGUAAAGAGCGUGUAGGCGGCCCGACCAGUCCGCUGUGAAAGUCCAGGGCUCAACCCUGGAAUGCCGGUGGAUACUGUCGGGCUAGAGUCCGGAAUGGGCGAGUGGAAUUCCUGGUGUAGCGGUGAAAUGCGCAGAUAUCAGGAGGAACACCAAUGGCGAAGGCAGCUCGCUGGGACGUGACUGACGCUGAGACGCGAAAGCGUGGGGAGCAAACAGG
This 253-nucleotide ribosomal RNA is filed under the name uncultured bacterium. RNAcentral's name for it is "partial 16S ribosomal RNA". It matches the Rfam family "Bacterial small subunit ribosomal RNA", at positions 524 to 776 of the family's 1533-position model. The record is from RNAcentral.